Pipistrellus kuhlii (Kuhl's pipistrelle) is the source of this 169-nucleotide long non-coding RNA. RefSeq lists it as uncharacterized. The transcript has 6 exons. NCBI's taxonomy places the organism in Eukaryota, Metazoa, Chordata, Mammalia, Chiroptera, Vespertilionidae. The record is from RefSeq and is a predicted model, not a curated record.
GGUCAAGAGCAUCCAGUAGUGAAAGAGAAGAGAAAAAAAAACCCAAAAAACAGAAAAGCCCUUAAUCAUACAGUAACUAGGAUCCAGAACUCAGAGUGAGGAGAUGGCAAAACAGACCCUGAAAGUAAAAUUAAAGCUAAGGAAUAUAGUAGAGCCUUACUUGCCUAUG